AGGGAAUCUUCCACAAUGGGCGCAAGCCUGAUGGAGCAACACCGCGUGAGUGAAGAAGGGUUUCGGCUCGUAAAGCUCUGUUGUUGGAGAAGAACGUGCGUGAGAGUAACUGUUUAUGCAGUGACGGUAUCCAACCAGAAAGUCACGGCUAACUACGUGCCAGCAGCCGCGGUAAUACGUAGGUGGCAAGCGUUAUCCGGAUUUAUUGGGCGUAAAGCGAGCGCAGGCG
This 229-nucleotide ribosomal RNA is filed under the name Limosilactobacillus reuteri. RNAcentral describes it as "Lactobacillus reuteri partial 16S ribosomal RNA". It matches the Rfam family "Bacterial small subunit ribosomal RNA", at positions 356 to 577 of the family's 1533-position model. Lineage: Bacteria; Bacillati; Bacillota; Bacilli; Lactobacillales; Lactobacillaceae. The record is from RNAcentral.